UGGGGAAUUUUGGACAAUGGGCGCAAGCCUGAUCCAGCCAUGCCGCGUGCGGGAAGAAGGCCUUCGGGUUGUAAACCGCUUUGUCAGGGAAGAAAUCUUCUGAGUUAAUACCUCGGGAGGAUGACGGUACCUGAAGAAUAAGCACCGGCUAACUACGUGCCAGCAGCCGCGGUAAUACGUAGGGUGCAAGCGUUAAUCGGAAUUACUGGGCGUAAAGCGUGCGCAGGCGGUUUUGUAAGACAGAGGUGAAAUCCCCGGGCUCAACCUGGGAACUGCCUUUGUGACUGCAAGGCUUGAGUGCGGCAGAGGGGGAUGGAAUUCCGCGUGUAGCAGUGAAAUGCGUAGAUAUGCGGAGGAACACCGAUGGCGAAGGCAAUCCCCUGGGCCUGCACUGACGCUCAUGCACGAAAGCGUGGGGAGCAAACAGGAUUAGAUACCCUGGUAGUCCACGCCCUAAACGAUGUCAACUGGUUGUUGGGAAGGUUCCUUCUCAGUAACGUAGCUAACGCGUGAAGUUGACCGCCUGGGGAGUACGGCCGCAAGGUUGAAACUCAAAUGAAUUGACGGGGUCAUAGCUGUUU
Molecule: ribosomal RNA, 581 nt
Filed under: uncultured bacterium
Lineage: Bacteria
Description: partial 16S ribosomal RNA
Rfam family: Bacterial small subunit ribosomal RNA
Source: RNAcentral